UACGAAGGGGGCUAGCGUUGUUCGGAAUUACUGGGCGUAAAGCGCGCGUAGGCGGUGAUCUUUGUCAGAGGUGAAAGCCCGGGGCUCAACUCCGGAAUUGCCUUUAAAACUGCAUCGCUAGAAUUGUGGAGAGGUAAGUGGAAUUCCGAGUGUAGAGGUGAAAUUCGUAGAUAUUCGGAAGAACACCAGUGGCGAAGGCGACUUACUGGACACAUAUUGACGCUGAGGUGCGAAAGCGUGGGGAGCAAACAGG
This 253-nucleotide ribosomal RNA is filed under the name uncultured bacterium. RNAcentral's name for it is "partial 16S ribosomal RNA". It matches the Rfam family "Bacterial small subunit ribosomal RNA", at positions 524 to 776 of the family's 1533-position model. The record is from RNAcentral.